AUUGAACGCUGGCGGCAGGCCUAACACAUGCAAGUCGAACGGUAACAGGAAGAAGCUUGCUUCUUUGCUGACGAGUGGCGGACGUGUGAGUAAUGUCUGGGAAACUGCCUGAUGGAGGGGGAUGACUACUGGAAACGGUAGCUAAUACCGCAUAACGUCGCAAGAACAAAAAGGGGGACCUUCGGGCCUCUUGCCAUCGGAUGUGCCCAGAUGGGAUUAGCUAGUAGGUGGGGUAACGGCUCACCUAGGCGACGAUCCCUAGCUGGUCUGAGAGGGUGACCAGCCACACUGGAACUGAGACACGGUCCAGACUCCUACGGGAGGCAGCAGUGGGGAAUAUUGCACAUAGGGCGCAAGCCUGAUGCAGCCAUGCCGCGUGUAUGAAGAAGGCCUUCGGGUUGUAAAGUACGUUCAGCGGGGAGGAAGGGAGUAAAGUUAAUACCUUUGCUCAUUGACGUUACCCGCAGAAGAAGCACCGGCUAACUCCGUG
This 490-nucleotide ribosomal RNA is filed under the name uncultured bacterium. Its description in RNAcentral is "partial 16S ribosomal RNA". It matches the Rfam family "Bacterial small subunit ribosomal RNA", at positions 30 to 507 of the family's 1533-position model. The record is from RNAcentral.